AUUGAACGCUGGCGGAAUGCUUUACACAUGCAAGUCGAACGGCAGCACGGGGGCAACCCUGGUGGCGAGUGGCGAACGGGUGAGUAAUACAUCGGAACGUGCCCGGUCGUGGGGGAUAACGUAGCGAAAGUUACGCUAAUACCGCAUACGAUCUGAGGAUGAAAGCGGGGGACCUUCGGGCCUCGCGCGAUCGGAGCGGCCGAUGUCAGGUUAGGUAGUUGGUGGGGUAAGGGGCUACCAAGCCGAGGAUCUGUAGGUGGUCUGAGAGAACGACCAGCCACACUAGAACUGGGCCACGGACCAGACGCCUACGGGAGGCAGCAGUGGGGAAUUUUGGACAAUGGGCGCAAGCCUGAUCCAGCCAUUCCGCGUGCAGGACGAAGGCCUUCGGGUUGUAAACUGCUUUUGUAUGGAACGAAAAGGCUCUGGCUAAUACCUAGGGAUCAUGACGGUACCGUAAGAAUAAGCACCGGCUAACUACGUG
Molecule: ribosomal RNA, 484 nt
Filed under: uncultured bacterium
Lineage: Bacteria
Description: partial 16S ribosomal RNA
Rfam family: Bacterial small subunit ribosomal RNA
Source: RNAcentral